CUUGCUCUGUGGAUCAGUGGCGAACGGGUGAGUAACACGUGAGCAACCUGCCCCGGACUCUGGGAUAAGCGCUGGAAACGGCGUCUAAUACUGGAUACGAGACGUGAUCGCAUGGUCAACGUCUGGAAAGAUUUUUCGGUCUGGGAUGGGCUCGCGGCCUAUCAGCUUGUUGGUGAGGUAAUGGCUCACCAAGGCGUCGACGGGUAGCCGGCCUGAGAGGGUGACCGGCCACACUGGGACUGAGACACGGCCCAGACUCCUACGGGAGGCAGCAGUGGGGAAUAUUGCACAAUGGGCGGAAGCCUGAUGCAGCAACGCCGCGUGAGGGAUGACGGCCUUCGGGUUGUAAACCUCUUUUAGCAGGGAAGAAGCGAAAGUGACGGUACCUGCAGAAAAAGCGCCGGCUAACUACGUGCCAGCAGCCGCGGUAAUACGUAGGGCGCAAGCGUUAUCCGGAAUUAUUGGGCGUAAAGAGCUCGUAGGCGGUCUGUCGCGUCUGCUGUGAAAACCCGAGGCUCAACCUCGGGCCUGCAGUGGGUACGGGCAGACUAGAGUGCGGUAGGGGAGAUUGGAAUUCCUGGUGUAGCGGUGGAAUGCGCAGAUAUCAGGAGGAACACCGAUGGCGAAGGCAGAUCUCUGGGCCGUAACUGACGCUGAGGAGCGAAAGGGUGGGGAGCAAACAGGCUUAGAUACCCUGGUAGUCCACCCCGUAAACGUUGGGAACUAGUUGUGGGGUCCUUUCCACGGAUUCCGUGACGCAGCUAACGCAUUAAGUUCCCCGCCUGGGGAGUACGGCCGCAAGGCUAAAACUCAAAGGAAUUGACGGGGACCCGCACAAGCGGCGG
RNAcentral lists this ribosomal RNA (845 nucleotides) under Microbacterium thalassium. Its description in RNAcentral is "bacterial SSU rRNA". It matches the Rfam family "Bacterial small subunit ribosomal RNA", at positions 79 to 935 of the family's 1533-position model. The record is from RNAcentral. Lineage: Bacteria; Bacillati; Actinomycetota; Actinomycetes; Micrococcales; Microbacteriaceae.